UACGAAGGGGGCUAGCGUUGCUCGGAAUUACUGGGCGUAAAGGGCGCGUAGGCGGCACUGUUAGUCAGGCGUGAAAGUCCUGGGCUCAACCUGGGAACUGCGCUUGAUACGGCAGAGCUAGAGGAUGGAAGAGGCUCGCGGAAUUCCCAGUGUAGAGGUGAAAUUCGUAGAUAUCGGGAGGAACACCGGUGGCGAAGGCGGCGACCUGGGUAGAUACUGACGCUGAGGUGCGAAAGCGUGGGGAGCAAACAGG
This 253-nucleotide ribosomal RNA is filed under the name uncultured bacterium. RNAcentral's name for it is "partial 16S ribosomal RNA". It matches the Rfam family "Bacterial small subunit ribosomal RNA", at positions 524 to 776 of the family's 1533-position model. The record is from RNAcentral.